AUGAACGCUGGCGGCGUGCCUAAUACAUGCAAGUCGAGCGAACAGACGAGGAGCUUGCUCCUCUGACGUUAGCGGCGGACGGGUGAGUAACACGUGGAUAACCUACCUAUAAGACUGGGAUAACUUCGGGAAACCGGAGCUAAUACCGGAUAAUAUAUUGAACCGCAUGGUUCAAUAGUGAAAGACGGUUUUGCUGUCACUUAUAGAUGGAACCGCGCCGCAUUAGCUAGUUGGUAAGGUAACGGCUUACCAAGGCAACGAUGCGUAGCCGACCUGAGAGGGUGAUCGGCCACACUGGAACUGAGACACGGUCCAGACUCCUACGGGAGGCAGCAGUAGGGAAUCUUCCGCAAUGGGCGAAAGCCUGACGGAGCAACGCCGCGUGAGUGAUGAAGGUCUUCGGAUCGUAAAACUCUGUUAUUAGGGAAGAACAAAUGUGUAAGUAACUAUGCACGUCUUGACGGUACCUAAUCAGAAAGCCACGGCUAACUACGUG
Molecule: ribosomal RNA, 496 nt
Filed under: uncultured bacterium
Lineage: Bacteria
Description: partial 16S ribosomal RNA
Rfam family: Bacterial small subunit ribosomal RNA
Source: RNAcentral